This 67-nucleotide transfer RNA is filed under the name Marmota monax (woodchuck). RNAcentral describes it as "tRNA.Ala". The record is from RNAcentral. Lineage: Eukaryota; Metazoa; Chordata; Mammalia; Rodentia; Sciuridae.
GGUUGUGGCUCAGUGUUAAGGCACUUGCCUAGCGUGUGUGAGGCACUGGGUUCAAUUCUCAGCACCA